AGCGCACAGACGUUUGAAGAGUGGCCCCCGUGUGCCUGCCGUGGUUGCAUGAUGGCAUUUGAGCCUCACAACCUAAUCCUGAUAGAGAGAUGAUUUCUUAAAUGACCAGAAGAUACUGCAAGUUCAAAGUCCUGGAGGCCAGAAGGAGCUUGUAUUCAAGAAACAGAAAAGGAAAUAUAAGAAAACAUAUUUUCUCAAGGAAA
Molecule: non-coding RNA, 203 nt
Organism: Macaca mulatta (Rhesus monkey)
Lineage: Eukaryota; Metazoa; Chordata; Mammalia; Primates; Cercopithecidae
Source: RefSeq, a predicted model, not a curated record